Triticum aestivum (bread wheat) is the source of this 116-nucleotide non-coding RNA. The record is from Rfam. Lineage: Eukaryota; Viridiplantae; Streptophyta; Magnoliopsida; Poales; Poaceae.
UUUGUACCCCCUCCGUCCCAAAAUUCUUGUCUUAAUAUCUAGUUACAUUUUAGUGUUAGAUACAUCCGUAUCUAAACAAAUGUAAGACAAGAAUUUUGGGACAGAGGGAAUACUAC